GAUGAACGCUGGCGGCGUGCCUAAUACAUGCAAGUCGAGCGAACGGACGAUAAGCUUGCUUCUCUGCUGUUAGCGGCUGACGGGUGAGUAACAUGUGGAUAACCUACCUAUAAUACUGGGAUAACUUCGGGAAACCGGAGCUAAUACCGGAUAAUAUUUUGAACCGCAUGGUUCAAAAGUGAAAGACGGUCUUGCUGUCACUUAUAGAUGGAUCCGCGCUGCAUUAGCUAGUUGGUAAGGUAACGGCUUACCAAGGCAACGAUGCAUAGCCGACCUGAGAGGAUGAUCGGCCACACUGGAACUGAGACACGGUCCAGACUCCUACGGGAGGCAGCAGUAGGGAAUAUUGGGCAAUGGGCGAAAGCCUGACGGAGCAACACCGCGUGAGUGAAGAAGGCCUUCGGAUCGUAAAACUCUGUUAUUAGGGAAGAAAAGAAGUGGAAGAAACUGUCGAUAUCUUGACGGUACCUAAACAGAAAGCAACGGCUAACUACGUG
Molecule: ribosomal RNA, 497 nt
Filed under: uncultured bacterium
Lineage: Bacteria
Description: partial 16S ribosomal RNA
Rfam family: Bacterial small subunit ribosomal RNA
Source: RNAcentral